RNAcentral lists this transfer RNA (77 nucleotides) under SAR202 cluster bacterium Io17-Chloro-G6. RNAcentral describes it as "tRNA-Lys". It matches the Rfam family "tRNA". From Rfam's summary of the family: Transfer RNA (tRNA) molecules are approximately 80 nucleotides in length. Their secondary structure includes four short double-helical elements and three loops (D, anti-codon, and T loops). RNAcentral also lists the same sequence under 1 other name. The record is from RNAcentral. Lineage: Bacteria; Bacillati; Chloroflexota; Dehalococcoidia.
GGGCCGUUAGCUCAGUUUGGCAGAGCACCGGACUUUUAAUCCGGGUGUCGUGGGUUCGAGCCCCACACGGCCCACCA